Ictalurus punctatus (channel catfish) is the source of this 1442-nucleotide long non-coding RNA. NCBI's taxonomy places the organism in Eukaryota, Metazoa, Chordata, Actinopteri, Siluriformes, Ictaluridae. The record is from Ensembl.
GUGAGACUAAGCGUACUCGUCAGACUUACAGCUGAAGACCAAACAUCUGUGGUGAAGUUCAUCGCGGAGUGGUUAUGAAGAAGCUCGUGAAUAUGAUCUGUCAUACGGUUGUAUAACUCCGCACACAGAUUCUGAAGAAGAGUUAAUCAAGGGCGUGACUGUUGGAAUCAGUACAGUUGUGGAUGACGCGAUGGACCCUAUUCCGUGUGACUGCGGUGAUGUAGCCCUUGUAAUGGAAGAAGUUGUCGUUCUACGCAAUCUUGGUGAUGUACCAAAUGCAUUUGUCAACUUGAUGGGAUUGCUUUAUGCACGUAACAUAAACUACCCCACAAACUUCAAAUACACCUUUGAGGUGAUUCAGAGGCUGUUCAUGAACAUCGGAGCUGAUGCCUGCAGUGCACGAGUACAUUCACUUAAAAAUAAUCUGCUCAAGUAGAGAUGGUGUUAUGCAUUUCUUGUAAGAGAGAUUUCAUGUGGUGUUGUGUUGUGUAUGUCACAGUUUCUAUACCUAAGCAGCAUGACUUCAGUUUUGUUGUAUAUUUUCACCUUUAAACACUGGGCAAUUGAAAUGUAAUGUUGUUAGGCAAAAACAGAUUUCUGCUUGCUUUUUCUGUUUAUUUUGAGAAAUUCAUGUAAUUUCAAGUUCUGCUCACGCCCGAGUCUGCUGACACGCACAGCCAAGCUCCGCCCAUGCCCAAGGUUCACCUGGUAACCUCAGAGCCUCAGCCCCCCUGUUCAGCUGCGGUCGUCGCUCAGCCUCCCUGUUCAGCUGCGGUCGUCGCUCAGCCUCCCUACGCCGCCAAGAACACCGGGCAGUUUCCUGGCUCUGUUUGGGACAUUCAGCCCAGGGGGCCGGGGCCGCCAAUGAAGUGGGAUGACUCAUGGCACUCGGGGGGGGGUUCUGUCACGAUUCCCCCUUGAAGCAGCGUGCUCUAAGCGUGAAUGUGCGAGCACCUGCUUUUCCGUUGUUGACUGUAAUGACAUCUGGACACGUGUGUUUUGUUUAUGUUUCUGUCAUGUCUCCUCCCUGUUCUGUCAUUGGCUGGGAUUUCACGUGGGUCUGAAUUGCUCUCAGCUGCUAGCGGUUUAGACGCUGAUCAUGUCCGCAUAUAUACUGCGCGCCUCCCAGCACACAACGCGGAAGAUUAAAUGUUUAGAGUUAGUUUAGCUCGUAUCAUAGUCAUAGUCACGGUCCAUGUUUAGAGUUAGUUCGCGCUGGAUUAUCCGCUUCCAGUCCCUCGUCAUAGUUGGUUUCUUGUUUUGUUUAUCGACCCUGUUUUCCGUGACCACGACCUAGAUUCCUGCCUUGCCCCGUGUACGCUUGUUUGCCAAUCGCCUGACCUCUUGCAUUUCGUUUCUUGUUUUGUUUAUCGACCCUGUUUUCCGUGACCACGACCUAGAUUCCUGCCUUGCCCCGUGUACGCUUGUUUGCCAAUCGCCUG